RNAcentral lists this ribosomal RNA (459 nucleotides) under uncultured Thauera sp. RNAcentral's name for it is "bacterial SSU rRNA". It matches the Rfam family "Bacterial small subunit ribosomal RNA", at positions 923 to 1382 of the family's 1533-position model. Lineage: Bacteria; Pseudomonadati; Pseudomonadota; Betaproteobacteria; Rhodocyclales; Zoogloeaceae. The record is from RNAcentral.
GCACAAGCGGUGGAUGAUGUGGAUUAAUUCGAUGCAACGCGAAAAACCUUACCUACCCUUGACAUGUCUGGAACCUUGGUGAGAGCCGAGGGUGCCUUCGGGAGCCAGAACACAGGUGCUGCAUGGGCUGUCGUCAGCUCGUGUCGUGAGAUGUUGGGUUAAGUCCCGCAACGAGCGCAACCCUUGUCACUAGUUGCCAUCAUUUGGUUGGGCACUCUAGUGAGACUGCCGGUGACAAACCGGAGGAAGGUGGGGAUGACGUCAAGUCCUCAUGGCCCUUAUGGGUAGGGCUUCACACGUCAUACAAUGGUCGGUACAGAGGGUUGCCAAGCCGCGAGGCGGAGCCAAUCCCACAAAGCCGAUCGUAGUCCGGAUUGUUCUCUGCAACUCGAGAGCAUGAAGUCGGAAUCGCUAGUAAUCGCAGGUCAGCAUACUGCGGUGAAUACGUUCCCGGGUCUU